AAAAUAAACACAGUUGACAGUGAGAGGACGUUUUCUUUUUUUUGCUGAGUUCACAAUUCAAGAGUAUUUUUAAGUCUACCAAUUGGUGCUGAAAAGGAGAUGAAUAUGCUUAUAUUUACUUGGGCCAGGACGAUACCAGUAUCGCAGUGUUUUUUUUCCAUGACAAAAAUUAAAACAGGAAGCAGACCAAACUCUUUGGCCCUUUAAAAACCUGCUGGAUGUAAAAUCAUGUGUGCUAUAGCUUGGAAAAUAUAUAAAUGUGAUUCUGGAUGACAACAUAAUGAUGUUUGUUCCAAAAUUAGGUCUAUUUUCCUAAAGAAGUCAAAUCCACUUAAUGUUUUGCUUCCUUGCCAUGAUAUGAACAAGUAUCACGAUACUGGUAUUGUCCCGGCCCCAUUAUUUACAUGGCUUUCUUAAAUUGAUCCCUAAUAUUCUGAACAUGCUCUCCAUAUACUCUGAGUCUGAUAAUGUUAAUUAACAGUAUGCCAAUUUAACGGGAUGGCUUUCGAUAAAUGUAGUGGAAACUCAAUUGAAUGAAAACUCCAUGAGAAAAUCUGUUGACUAGCAAGUGGGAGGGUUUUCAGCAGUUUAAUAAAAUGUAUUCAGCCCAGGGAGCCACGCCUGCAAAGCCUGUUAAACACCUGCAUAAGGUAAGUCUGAAUAACAACUGAGAAGUGUGUAGGAAAGGCAUGCGUAGGAAAGAUGUACAUUUCCUAAGUCUGAAUCGGGCCACAUAUAGAUAAAUGUACUGAAAACCAUAUUGAAUGAAAACCAGCUAUUGCUGAUUUAAACAUAGGGUACAUGUUUGCCAAUAUAGCUGCCAAACAGUUGCAAUGUUUUUGAUUGGAUUAGUCUGACACUGACAGUACUCUUUCAGUACAGUUUUCUUUCUAAAUGCUUAAACUCUACAUCAGUUUGUAAUUUUAUAACACACUUUUUGCAAAACUGUAAACACAACUCACUGCUUUACACUCAGUUUGCAAUUUAAUAACACACUUCUAGCAAAACUGUAAACAUUGGUCUCCACAUUGCUACACUUUCACCAAUUGCCUUUCCACAUUGACACAUGAAAACUCUUUUAGAUAAUGAGUUCACUUACAAAUCACAACUUGAGCACUAUAAAUAGGCCACAGUAAACAUUUGGUUUGGACAAUAUUGGACAGAGCGUAAGAGGUAUGAGAAGGUGAAGAAGUAGGAGGAGGAGAAGGAGAAAUAGGUGAAGUAGGGAAGAGGAAGGGGAGUCAGGAAAACGAUAACUGAUGAAAUCAGAGUGACUGUGGUUGACCAUGUUGUCAACCAUAGGAUGAGCAUGAGGGAGGCUGGCCAACAGUUUAAACCAAAUCUACUGUUGCAGGUAUCAUCCGGAUAUUUCGAAAUGAGAACCGAACUGCAAGAAAACCAGUAUCUGUUGGAAGAGGUUGACUGUUCACCACAGAGCAGGAGACCCACAUUGUAAAUAUAGUCAUUGCAGACUCAGACUGCAGGAGUACAUAAUGGCAGAUAACACCAUAUUCCAAAACGUCAACAGAGUGAGUCUCUCUGUCUCGUCUACUGAAACACAAUAGAAUUAGGAUGAAGCAGAUGUACAGUGUCCCUUUCGAAAGAAACUCAGACUGUGUAGAACAACUGCGAUAUGAAUAUGUGCAGGAGCCACGGCAGGAAUAUCAUCGGACACCGUGCCAUUAUCAACGUCCCGUGACAAUGUGGUGGCAACAUAAAAAAGGCUAUUAGUCAAAACGGCGUCCUUCACCAUCAUGCAAUCCUAGCCCCAUACAACACUGCACAGAUUAUCACAUUUCUGGACACCCUCCACAACAGACUAAUCCCUAAUGACCAGGGGCCACAGCAGCCAGGUACGUUAUCAUCUGGGACAAUGUUAGUUUCCACCGGGCUGCUGUGGUCCGCAAUUGGUUGACUGGUCACCCACUUUUCAUUGCACUCAAUCUCCCACCAUACUCUCCGUUCUUGAAUCUUCUCUGCAUGGCGUUGGAAGGUGUAUCAUCGCCAUCCCCAACAGCGCAUACCCCUUCUACAGGUAAUGGCUUGUGGAGACAUCGAUGAGGGGUCAUGCCAGGCCUGGAUAAGGCACUCCAGGCGAUACUUUCCACGCUGCCUAGGUCAAGACAACAUCGCAUGUGAUCUUAUGGCCAGACCCACAUAGAAGUUGAGAUAUCGCCCCCAAAAAAUGAAAAACUUUUUCUAGUACAAAUGUUUUUGUUUUCUUCUGCUGCACUUUUGUUGUUUGAGGGAAAAAAAUAACUUUUCCCCUUAUUUGUAUUGAUAGUGUGUUACGUACGGAAUGCACAUCCAUACUUUACACAUUUGGAUACCUGUGUGUAUGUGUGUUUACUACAUGUAUGACAAAACGUUAUUGCAAACUGCUAUGCCCUGCACACAGAAAAAGAAAAAGUCACAAGUGUUUUUCAUUUAUACAAUCAGUGGGUAAUUGGUGCUUAGUGUGCUUAUUCAAUUGAUGGUUUGUGUGUACUGUAUUGACGCAAAACAUUUUUUUUUAAAGAGUUUGAAGAGUUUUGUAAGAAUUGUUUGCUUUUGCAAGAGAUGUACAAUGUUUUGCUGGUUUGGUGUAAGUUUUUGUGGUUAGUGUGUAGAGUUUUGCAAAAAUCGCCUAUAGUUUCAAAGAUAGUGCCUAUGCAAUCAGAACAAAACUGUAAUAGGUGGAAUAUGUCUAAUGAUAAUACAAAAAAACAUUUAUUAAAAUGAUGCAGAUAACAAAACCAAUUUAGCCCGGUUUCCAAAAUAUAUAAUCUUUGUAAAAUAUUAGCCAUAUUUUUCUAAAAUGUGCCAAACAAUUUAUCUAUAAUAUUCCUAAAGGGAUUGUUUGCUGGUUUAUAGUGAUUAUAAUGCUAAUAUUAUGCCAUAUUGUUAAAUAUAAAAUCCGUCUUAAAUCCUGUCAUAUAUACACUGCAUUCCAUCAUAACAUUACAAAUGAUGAGGGUAUCAACUUACAAACAGUACCAGUCGAAAGUUUGGACACACCUACUCAUUCAAGGUUGAAUUAUUAUUAUUAUUUUUUAAUUGU
This is a long non-coding RNA of Oncorhynchus gorbuscha (pink salmon), 3040 nucleotides long. RefSeq lists it as uncharacterized. The record is from RefSeq and is a predicted model, not a curated record. NCBI's taxonomy places the organism in Eukaryota, Metazoa, Chordata, Actinopteri, Salmoniformes, Salmonidae. The transcript is spliced from 3 exons.